ACGCUAGCUACAGGCUUAACACAUGCAAGUCGAGGGGAAACGGCAUUAAGUGCUUGCACUUUUUGGACGUCGACCGGCGCACGGGUGAGUAACGCGUAUCCAACCUUCCCAUGACUAAGGGAUAACCUGCCGAAAGGCAGACUAAUACCUUAUGGUCUUCACUGACGGCAUCAGAUGUGAAGUAAAGAUUUAUCGGUUAUGGAUGGGGAUGCGUCUGAUUAGCUUGUUGGCGGGGUAACGGCCCACCAAGGCAACGAUCAGUAGGGGUUCUGAGAGGAAGGUCCCCCACAUUGGAACUGAGACACGGUCCAAACUCCUACGGGAGGCAGCAGUGAGGAAUAUUGGUCAAUGGGCGAGAGCCUGAACCAGCCAAGUAGCGUGCAGGAUGACGGCCCUAUGGGUUGUAAACUGCUUUUGUAUGGGGAUAAAGUCAAUCACGUGUGAUUGUUUGCAGGUACCAUACGAAUAAGGACCGGCUAAUUCCGUGCCAGCAGCCGCGGUAAUACGGAAGGUCCGGGCGUUAUCCGGAUUUAUUGGGUUUAAAGGGAGCGUAGGCUGGAGAUUGAGUGUGUUGUGAAAUGUAGACGCUCAACGUCUGACUUGCAGCGCAUACUGGUUUCCUUGAGUACGCACAACGUUGGCGGAAUUCGUCGUGUAGCGGUGAAAUGCUUAGAUAUGACGAAGAACUCCGAUUGCGAAGGCAGCUGACGGGAGCGCAACUGACGCUGAAGCUCGAAGGUGCGGGUAUCGAACAGGAUUAGAUACCCUGGUAGUCCGCACAGUAAACGAUGGAUGCCCGCUGUUGGUACCUGGUAUCAGCGGCUAAGCGAAAGCAUUAAGCAUCCCACCUGGGGAGUACGCCGGCAACGGUGAAACUCAAAGGAAUUGACGGGGGCCCGCACAAGCGGAGGAAC
Molecule: ribosomal RNA, 914 nt
Filed under: uncultured bacterium
Lineage: Bacteria
Description: bacterial SSU rRNA
Rfam family: Bacterial small subunit ribosomal RNA
Source: RNAcentral